This 247-nucleotide non-coding RNA is filed under the name Acetivibrio straminisolvens. RNAcentral's name for it is "Clostridium straminisolvens T-box sequence". It matches the Rfam family "T-box leader". Rfam says of the family: Uncharged tRNA acts as the effector for transcription antitermination of genes in the T-box leader family. T-boxes are found upstream of many aminoacyl-tRNA synthetase genes and some amino acid biosynthetic genes usually in Gram-positive bacteria. The anticodon of a specific tRNA base pairs to a specifier sequence within the T-box motif, and the NCCA acceptor tail of the tRNA base pairs to a conserved bulge in the T-box antiterminator hairpin. The record is from RNAcentral. Lineage: Bacteria; Bacillati; Bacillota; Clostridia; Acetivibrionales; Acetivibrionaceae.
GCAAAAACGAUGAGUAGAACGAGUAGAGGGCGAAACUUUUGAAGAGAGCAGGUGGUUGGUGCGAAUCCUGUAAAGCCAGCCUUUGAAAAUCAUCUACGAGUUGCCGGCUGAAAGGUAUGAGAAGUUUCCAAGUAAGCUGGGCCGGCGGUGAGCCGUUAUUUUAAUUAAGUGAUUAGGAAUAUAUAUUUUGAUAUAUAUUCUAUAAUAAAUAUGGGUGGUACCGCGUGAGGAUUCUCUCGUCCUUUUG